AGUGAACGCUGGCGGUAGGCCUAACACAUGCAAGUCGAACGGCAGCACAGUAGGAACUUGGUCUUACGGGUGGCGAGUGGCGAACGGGUGGGGAAUACCUCGGUAUUUACUUUGUAUUGGGGGAUAACGCUGGGAAACUUACGCUAAUCCCGCAUCCGACGUACGGGUGAAAGCAGGAGACCUUCGGAACAUGCGCGAUUGAAUGACCGGAUGUCGGAUUAGCUAGUUGGCGGGGUAAAGGCCCACCAAGGCGACGAUCCGUAGCUGGUCUGAGAGGAUGAUCAGCCACACUGUGACUGAGACACGGCCCAGACUCCUACGGGAGGCAGCAGUGGGGAAUAUUGGACAAUGGGCGCAAGCCUGAUCCAGCCAUACCGCGUGUGUGAAGAAGGCCUUCGGGUUGUAAAGCCCUUUUGUUCGGAAAGAAAUCCAUCAAGUUAAUACCCCGCUGUUCUGACGGUACCCAAAGAAUAAGCACCGGCUAACUUCGUG
This 492-nucleotide ribosomal RNA is filed under the name uncultured bacterium. RNAcentral's name for it is "partial 16S ribosomal RNA". It matches the Rfam family "Bacterial small subunit ribosomal RNA", at positions 29 to 507 of the family's 1533-position model. The record is from RNAcentral.